Long non-coding RNA from Meriones unguiculatus (Mongolian gerbil), 470 nucleotides. RefSeq lists it as uncharacterized. Lineage: Eukaryota; Metazoa; Chordata; Mammalia; Rodentia; Muridae. The transcript is spliced from 3 exons. The record is from RefSeq and is a predicted model, not a curated record.
ACAAACUGUCUGAAUGCUUGGCCCGCUUGGCCCACAGGAAGUGACACUAUUGGAAGGCGUGGCCUUGCUGGAGGAAGUGCUCGGAUGGGCUUUGAGGUCUCCUAUGCUCAAGCUAUACAGUGUGGCACAUGGUCUCCUUCUGCUGCCUGCGGGUCAAGAUGCAUUGGCUACUCCAGCACCGUGUCUGCCUGCUUCCCACCAUGAUGAUGGACUAAACCUCUGAACCAUUCGAGACAGCCAGAUGACACUGUUCCCAACUGCGGUUACCAUCGGAUCUGUACAUCUCUUCUCACAGCCAGGGAGCGGAAAUCAAAGCUUGGCGCAGUUGGCACCCUGCAUAAAAGCCGCCACACAAAGGAUCUAACCCUGCGGUCCUAGCAUGGCCUCAGAGUUUCAGCAAUCAUCCUGCCCGGCCUCCAGAGAGCUGGAUUACAAGUGUGAACCCUCCCACAUUUAUUGUUAGAUAGGCU